CUCUCAGCUACCCCCUUGAACCUCGCACUUGACUGUAAAUACCAACGUCGCUUCGCUAACUCGGGGAGGGGAUUUGGGGAGCCAAAUCUCCGUCCCGCCGGCGGGCAAAGGUUUGAAGAUGGGAACGCGGAGCGAGCCGGAUGCGGCUCCACCAUGCCGACCCUUGGGGCACGAGCGGAGCGGGAAGGAAGGAAGGAAGGAAGGAAGGAAGGAAGGAAGGAAGGAAGGAAGGAAGGAAGGAAGGAAGGAAGGAAGGAAGGAAGGAAGGAAGGAAGGAAGGAAGGAAGGAAGGAAGGAAGGAAGGAAGGAAGGAAGGAAGGAAGGAAGGAAGGAAGGAAGGAAGGAAGGAAGGAAGGAAGCCGUGUUGUGCAGGGCCUGCGCCUGGAAGCGGCGUUUCUUCGAGCAUCUUUCGCCCGACGCGCCAGCAGCCCGGUGCGACUGCAGAAGUUUAAAAAUGGUGACUGAGUUGUACAGGAGAACCAGGACAAUCCCAAAAAUUGCUGAGGUGAGGCUGGCUGGCCAGGGAGUUUCCAGAUGAGAUACUUUAAAUGAAGCAGCGCUGCAGAGGCCAGAGCAAUACCAUGAGUUUAAAUUCUAUACGUUAAUAGCCACGUCCUCCUAAUUUUCCUUGGGAUCCAUCCAGUUUGCAGUUCGCCUUCCCAUACAGGGAGAGCUUAAUCCCUGAUGCUGUGCUUCAGAGGAAUCUCUUCCGGAAUGCACCUUUAAUCUUCCUCCCUGGACGGUCUCCUUCCUUGACAAUGUCAUGUCCUCUCCAGAAAUUUAAGCGUGAGGUAAAAAACAUGAUCAGUUUGUCAUUGAGGUUGGAGACUUACUGAUUAGCAUAAGUAGGAAAUGCAGUCCAGAUCUGGUAGUGCACUUUGAACAUAUUACCCUUAACCAUGAGACUGUUCU
RNAcentral lists this long non-coding RNA (912 nucleotides) under Struthio camelus australis. Its description in RNAcentral is "lncRNA (ENSSCUG00000012134.1)". Lineage: Eukaryota; Metazoa; Chordata; Aves; Struthioniformes; Struthionidae. The record is from RNAcentral.